AGAGUUUGAUCAUGGCUCAGAACGAACGUUAGCGGCGCGCUUAACACAUGCAAGUCGAGCGAGAAAGGGCUUCGGCCCCGGUAAAGCGGCGCACGGGUGAGUAACACGUAGGUAAUCUGCCCCUCGGUGGUGGAUAACCUUCCGAAAGGAGGGCUAAUACAGCAUGAGACCACGCUUUCGAAAGAGGGUGAGGUCAAAGCGGGCCACUAUUUAUAAGCUCGCGCCUUGAGAUGAGCCUGCGGCCCAUCAUGGUAGUUGGUAGGGUAACGGCCUACCAAGCCGAAGACGGGUAGCUGGUCUGAGAGGAUGAUCAGCCACACUGGAACUGAGACACGGUCCAGACUCCUACGGGAGGCAGCAGUGGGGAAUCUUGCGCAAUGGGCGAAAGCCUGACGCAGCGACGCCGCGUGAGUGAUGAAGGCCUUCGGGUUGUAAAGCUCUGUGGAGGGGGACGAAUAAGGGUUGGCUAACAUCCAGCUCGAUGACGGUACCCCUUUAGCAAGCACCGGCUAACUCUGUGCCAGCCGCCGCGGUAAUAC
This 539-nucleotide ribosomal RNA is filed under the name uncultured bacterium. RNAcentral's name for it is "bacterial SSU rRNA". It matches the Rfam family "Bacterial small subunit ribosomal RNA", at positions 8 to 526 of the family's 1533-position model. The record is from RNAcentral.